AUGAUUGCGCGGGUGGGACUUGCUUGUAAAAACCAUCCUUCGCUAGAUGUGACUACCCGAUGGAAUUCAACGUACCUAAUGCUUGAAUCAUCUUUGCCGUUCAGAGCAGCGUUCAAAGCCUGGAAAGAAACUAACAAAGAUUAUAAAUUUGCUCCUUCAGCUAGUGAAUGGGAGAUGGCCACAGCUAUUUGCCAUCUUUUGGGCACUUUUUACACAGCCACAAAGAAAAUCUCGGGUAGGACAUAUCCCACCUCUCACCUGUACUUCUAUGAGGUCUGGAAUGUGAAGAAGAUAAUGGAGAAAGAAGUCGUAAGUGAAAAUCCUACCAUUGUUGCCAUGGUGAAAGAGAUGGAGAAGAAAUGGAUCAAAUAUUUUGAGGAGUCAUUCUUAACAAGUUGUCUGCCGCUGAUAUUUGAUCCAAGGUACAAAUAUGAAUAUGUUGACUUCCGACUGACUGCAGCUUUUGGUGGCGGUGCCAAGAAGUAUCUUACCCAGGUGAAUAGUGCGAUGAAGAUCCUAUUUGUUGAAUAUGCAUCUGAAUUUGGAAACACUUCUGAUGAAGGUGACGAGGUUGCAGAGGAGGAUGGCGAGGGCACUCUUGAUGACUGGGAUAAGCAUUUGAGAUUGAAAAGAUCCCACAACUCAAAUGAGCUACAACGAUAUCUUGAAGAAGAUUUGUCUCCUCGUCGACAGAAGUUGGAUAUCUUAAAGUGGUGGGAAAUCCAGUCCCCAAAGUAUCCGGUGCUUGCGGCUAUAGCGCGGGACAUAUUGGCAGUGUCCGCGGCUACCGUGCCUGCAGAGGCUGCAUUCAGUAAUGCUGGAAGGAUCAGCACCGAGCAAAGAAGUAGUUUGACCCCGAGUACUGUUGAGACACUGAUGUGCCUCGAGGAUUGGCUUCGAGCUCCUGAUCGCCAAAAGGUGGAGCCAAUAGUUGGAGACCGCGGUGAUGAUCAACAAGAUGCUGGAACAACCUAG
RNAcentral lists this ribosomal RNA (975 nucleotides) under Triticum aestivum (bread wheat). RNAcentral's name for it is "partial small subunit ribosomal RNA". The record is from RNAcentral. Lineage: Eukaryota; Viridiplantae; Streptophyta; Magnoliopsida; Poales; Poaceae.